GCGCCGCAGCCGCCCGCCCGCCCGCUCAGCGCCCGGCCCCGGGAUGACGGCGGCCCAGGCCGCGGGUGAGGAGGCGCCACCAGGCGUGCGGUCCGUCAAGGUGGUCCUGGUGGGCGACGGCGGCUGCGGGAAGACGUCGCUGCUGAUGGUCUUCGCCGAUGGGGCCUUCCCCGAGAGCUACACCCCCACGGUGUUUGAGCGGUACAUGGUCAACCUGCAAGUGAAAGGCAAACCUGUGCACCUCCACAUCUGGGACACAGCAGGGCAAGAUGACUAUGACCGCCUGCGGCCCCUGUUCUACCCUGAUGCCAGCGUCCUGCUGCUUUGCUUCGAUGUCACCAGCCCGAACAGCUUUGACAACAUCUUUAACCGGUUUCUCACUAGGUGCUGGCUUUGCUGAUUAUCCAUAUCAGAGCUCAGGCUGGGGAGCAAGAGAGUGGUCCACUGAGAGGGCCAGAACUCUCCAGGGCUCACACAUGCCCCCCACACGCCCCCUCGCCCCCCUGCAGUGGUACCCAGAAGUGAAUCAUUUCUGCAAGAAGGUACCCAUCAUCGUCGUGGGCUGCAAGACUGACCUGCGCAAGGACAAAUCACUGGUGAAC
Molecule: small RNA, 602 nt
Filed under: Pan troglodytes (chimpanzee)
Lineage: Eukaryota; Metazoa; Chordata; Mammalia; Primates; Hominidae
Description: processed transcript
Source: RNAcentral